UGGCCCCUAGUUUGGUUGGUCGUCAGGUCCUGCCUUGUGCGGAGGCUGCUGGCUGCUGCAGUGGUGCCUGGUCACAAGGUGGCUGGUUGCUGGAUCCUAGGGGGCCCCGGGGCUAGUGCUCGCUCACUGGUGGGCAGACUUAGGGUCCCGAAGACUCUGGGGCUGCUGCCCACCCACUGGCAGGUGAAACCAGGUCCUGGGGUUAGUGCCGGACGACUGGCAGGCAGAGCCGGUUCCUGGAGUCUGGCCGCAGGGCCCAGGGAUCCCAGAGCUGGUGUCAGAUCACUGCCAGGUGUGGGGCGGGAGGGUUCAUGUCACAGUUGGCUGUGGGGUCCGGGGUGUCCCGAAGGUCGUGUUGGCCUGCCAGUGGGUAGGGCCAGGGCCCAGCUGGUCCCAGGGUAGCUCUGGCCUGGGUUGCGGAUCUUAUUUUUCUUGUUUCUGGAGUCUGUCCCCCUGGUGAGUGAGGCUGGCCUAGAGGCUUGUGCAGGCUUCCUGGUGGGAGGGGCGGAUGUCCGCCCACUGGUGGGUGGAGCUGGGUCUUGGCUCUCUGGUGGGCUGGGCCCACGUUAGGGGCGAGUCCGGAGGCAGCUGUGGGCUCUUUAGUUUUUAGCCUGUUUGCUGGUGGGUGGGGCUAUGUCCUCACCCACUUAAGUGUUUGGCCUGAGGCGUCCCAGCUCUGGCGCCUGCAGGGUGUUCGGUGGUGGUGCUAGGCCUUGGUGUCUAGGAGCCAAGAUACCAGCCACCAGCGGCAGCAGCGUUCACGCAGGUGAACGGUCCCCAACAUGUCUGACACCAGUGCCUACGAGCCACAGCCGCCGCCGCCUCUCCAGGAGGCUCUCCAAGACCAGCAGCAACAGAAACAUGAGGUCAGUCCAGCCUGAGGCAGUUUGUCCAAGAGGAGGUGGAGGAAGGACUGCUAAGUGAUUGGAAGUCUGACUUGCCUUUCAUGGCAGAAGAUGACAUCAUCUUUCGGAAACAACAAACCCUCCGUGGUACCUCAGGGGGAUCGUGAGUGCUAUGAAGACUAAAGCCCAUAUGAACAUUUGAGUACAGAUCUUUAAACAGACCUAUGUUUCCAUUUCCUUAGAGUAAGUACUCAGAAGUGGGAAUGCUGGACCAGCGGUAAAGGUAAGCGUAAAUACUUAGAGACUGCCAAGAUAUUUAAAGUGGCCAUAUAACUUUGUAUUCACACCAGCAAUGUCUGAGAGGUCUAGCUACUUCACAUCCUCGCUGAGACUUAGGUUGGUGGUCUUUUUAUUUUAGACAUUCUAUUGGAUGUGUAAUAGUUUUUCAUCUGGUUUUAAUUUUCAUUUCAAUUCUGUAGAGACGUUUAGCAUCUUUUCCUUCUUCAUUUAGUCAUAUACACUCUUUGGUGAAUUAUCUGUUCAAAUGGUUUGCCCUUUUAACAAAGUACUUUUUUUUAAUAAUCCAUUGUAAGAGUGCUUUUUUCUGAAUACAAGUCCUUAAUCAGAUAUGGUUUUUUUGCUUUUUUUAAAAUUUUAUGUGAGUAUAUAUGAUUUACAAUGUUGUGUUAGUUUCAGGUGUACAGCAGAGUGAUUUAUACAUUUAUAUAUAUUUAUUCUUUUUCAGAUUCUUUUCCCAUAUAGGGUAUUACAGAAUAUCGAGCAGAGUUCCCUGUGCUAUGCAAGGUCCUUGUUGAUUAUCUAUUUUAUAUGUAGUAGUAUGUAUAUGUUAAUCCCUACGUCCUAAUUUAUCCUUCCCCCAACUGUUCCCCUUUGGUAAACAUAAGUUUGUUUUCUAAGUCUUUGAGUCUGUUUCUGUUUUGUAAAUAAGUUCAUUUGUAUCAAUUUAUAGAUUCCACCUCUAAGUGAUGUCAUAUGAAAUUUAUCUUCCUCUGACUUACUUCACUUAGUAUGAUAAUCUCUAGGUCCGUCCACGUUGUCGCAAAUGGCAUUAUUUCAUUCUUUUUUAUGGCUGAGUAAUAUUCUGUUUUAUGUAUGGGUAUGUGUGUACGUAUGUAUAUAUAUAUACAUACAUACACACACAUAUGUAUACCACAUCUUCUUUAUCCAUUCAUCUGUUGAUGGACAUUUAGGUUGUUUCCAUGUCUUGGCUAUUGUAAGUAGUGCUGCUAGGAACGUUGGGGUGCAUGUAUCUUUUUGAAUUAGAGUUUUCGUCUUUUCCAGAUACAUGUCCAGGAUUGGAGUUGCAGAAUAUAUGGUAACGCUAUUUUUAGUUUUUUAAGGAAAUACA
Long non-coding RNA from Orcinus orca (killer whale), 2214 nucleotides. RefSeq lists it as uncharacterized. NCBI's taxonomy places the organism in Eukaryota, Metazoa, Chordata, Mammalia, Artiodactyla, Delphinidae. The record is from RefSeq and is a predicted model, not a curated record. The transcript has 3 exons.